This 711-nucleotide ribosomal RNA is filed under the name Salmonella enterica. Its description in RNAcentral is "partial 23S ribosomal RNA". It matches the Rfam family "Bacterial large subunit ribosomal RNA", at positions 711 to 1334 of the family's 2925-position model. The record is from RNAcentral. RNAcentral also lists the same sequence under 3 other names. Lineage: Bacteria; Pseudomonadati; Pseudomonadota; Gammaproteobacteria; Enterobacterales; Enterobacteriaceae.
AGACCCGAAACCCGGUGAUCUAGCCAUGGGCAGGUUGAAGGUUGGGUAACACUAACUGGAGGACCGAACCGACUAAUGUUGAAAAAUUAGCGGAUGACCUGUGGCUGGGGGUGAAAGGCCAAUCAAACCGGGAGAUAGCUGGUUCUCCCCGAAAGCUAUUUAGGUAGCGCCUCGUGAAUUCAUCUCCGGGGGUAGAGCACUGUUUCGGCUAGGGGGCCAUCCCGGCUUACCAACCCGAUGCAAACUGCGAAUACCGGAGAAUGUUAUCACGGGAGACACACGGCGGGUGCUAACGUCCGUCGUGAAGAGGGAAACAACCCAGACCGCCAGCUAAGGUCCCAAAGUCAUGGUUAAGUGGGAAACGAUGUGGGAAGGCCCAGACAGCCAGGAUGUUGGCUUAGAAGCAGCCAUCAUUUAAAGAAAGCGUAAUAGCUCACUGGUCGAGUCGGCCUGCGCGGAAGAUGUAACGGGGCUAAACCAUGCACCGAAGCUGCGGCAGCGAACGUAUCACCCAAGACAACUUUACGGAGUUGACGAUUGACGGAGCGAAGCGACGUCAAAGCGUUCAUUAAAGUCGAGUUGGCUUAGGGAUACGUUCGUUGGGUAGGGGAGCGUUCUGUAAGCCUGUGAAGGUGUGUCGUGAGGCAUGCUGGAGGUAUCAGAAGUGCGAAUGCUGACAUAAGUAACGAUAAAGCGGGUGAAAAGCCCGCU